RNAcentral lists this ribosomal RNA (604 nucleotides) under Vibrio renipiscarius. RNAcentral describes it as "bacterial SSU rRNA". It matches the Rfam family "Bacterial small subunit ribosomal RNA", at positions 1 to 589 of the family's 1533-position model. The record is from RNAcentral. Lineage: Bacteria; Pseudomonadati; Pseudomonadota; Gammaproteobacteria; Vibrionales; Vibrionaceae.
CUUAAAUUGAAGAGUUUGAUCAUGGCUCAGAUUGAACGCUGGCGGCAGGCCUAACACAUGCAAGUCGAGCGGUAACAGGAAGAAAGCUUGCUUUCUUUGCUGACGAGCGGCGGACGGGUGAGUAAUGCCUGGGAAUAUGCCUUAACGUGGGGGAUAACUAUUGGAAACGAUAGCUAAUACCGCAUGAUGCCUACGGGCCAAAGAGGGGGACCUUCGGGCCUCUCGCGUUAAGAUUAGCCCAGGUGGGAUUAGCUAGUUGGUGAGGUAAUGGCUCACCAAGGCGACGAUCCCUAGCUGGUCUGAGAGGAUGAUCAGCCACACUGGAACUGAGACACGGUCCAGACUCCUACGGGAGGCAGCAGUGGGGAAUAUUGCACAAUGGGCGCAAGCCUGAUGCAGCCAUGCCGCGUGUAUGAAGAAGGCCUUCGGGUUGUAAAGUACUUUCAGUCGUGAGGAAGGCAUUUGCGUUAAUAGCGUARGUGUUUGACGUUAGCGACAGAAGAAGCACCGGCUAACUCCGUGCCAGCAGCCGCGGUAAUACGGAGGGUGCGAGCGUUAAUCGGAAUUACUGGGCGUAAAGCGCAUGCAGGUGGUUCGUUAAGUC